UACGGAGGGGGCGAGCGUUAUUCGGAAUUAUUGGGCGUAAAGGGCGCGUAGGCGGCUUGAUGUGUCAAAGGUGAAAUCCCUCGGCUCAACUGAGGAACUGCCUUUGAAACUGUCUGGCUUGAGGCCGGGAGAGGGUAGCGGAAUUCCAGGUGUAGCGGUGAAAUGCGUAGAUAUCUGGAGGAACACCGGUGGCGAAGGCGGCAUUCUGGACCGAUAUUGACGCUGAGGAGCGAAAGCCAGGGGAGCAAACGGG
Molecule: ribosomal RNA, 253 nt
Filed under: uncultured bacterium
Lineage: Bacteria
Description: partial 16S ribosomal RNA
Rfam family: Bacterial small subunit ribosomal RNA
Source: RNAcentral